UACGAAGGGUGCAAGCGUUACUCGGAAUUACUGGGCGUAAAGCGUGCGUAGGUGGUGAGUUAAGUCUGUCGUGAAAGCCCCGGGCUCAACCUGGGAAUGGCGAUGGAUACUGGCUCGCUAGAGUGCGGUAGAGGAGAGUGGAAUUCCCGGUGUAGUGGUGAAAUGCGUAGAGAUCCGGAGGAACACCAGAGGCGCAGGCGGCUUGCUGGGUCUGUAUUGACGCUGAGACACGAAAGCAUGGGGAGCGAACGGG
RNAcentral lists this ribosomal RNA (253 nucleotides) under uncultured bacterium. RNAcentral's name for it is "partial 16S ribosomal RNA". It matches the Rfam family "Bacterial small subunit ribosomal RNA", at positions 524 to 776 of the family's 1533-position model. The record is from RNAcentral.